UUUUGCGAUGUGUUCCUAAUAUGUACUAUAAAUAUAUUGGGAGCAUUUUGCAUGCAUA
Molecule: microRNA precursor, 58 nt
Filed under: Cavia porcellus (domestic guinea pig)
Lineage: Eukaryota; Metazoa; Chordata; Mammalia; Rodentia; Caviidae
Description: microRNA cpo-mir-450a precursor (cpo-mir-450a-1)
Gene: cpo-mir-450a-1
Rfam family: mir-450 microRNA precursor family
Source: miRBase by way of RNAcentral